RNAcentral lists this ribosomal RNA (490 nucleotides) under uncultured bacterium. RNAcentral's name for it is "partial 16S ribosomal RNA". It matches the Rfam family "Bacterial small subunit ribosomal RNA", at positions 30 to 507 of the family's 1533-position model. The record is from RNAcentral.
AUUGAACGCUGGCGGCAGGCCUAACACAUGCAAGUCGAACGGUAACAGGAAACAGCUUGCUGUUUCGCUGACGAGUGGCGGACGGGUGAGUAAUGUCUGGGAAACUGCCUGAUGGAGGGGGAUAACUACUGGAAACGGUAGCUAAUACCGCAUAACGUCGCAAGACCAAAGAGGGGGACCCUCGGGCCUCUUGCCAUCGGAUGUGCCCAGAUGGGAUUAGCUUGUUGGUGGGGUAACGGCUCACCAAGGCGACGAUCCCUAGCUGGUCUGAGAGGAUGACCAGCCACACUGGAACUGAGACACGGUCCAGACUCCUACGGGAGGCAGCAGUGGGGAAUAUUACACAAUGGGCGCAAGCCUGAUGCAGCCAUGCCGCGUGCAUGAAGAAGGCCUUCGGGUUGUAAAGUACUUUCAGCGGGGAGGAAGGGAGUAAAGUUAAUACCUUUGCUCAUUGACGUUACCCGCAGAAGAAGCACCGGCUAACUCCGUG